GCACAUAAUUUUCAUUUUGGGGGGGAGGGACCCACAGAGAACAUAAUAUUCUCUCCAUUCUUUAUAUAUAUCACACACAGGCCCUCCUCAUCAGAGAGUAACAACAAUACCCUCACACUGACCUCACCAUCACACACCCAUAUACACUACACACUCUUAAUUUUAUCAGGAUAUACAUAGAAAUGGAUAGAUAAGAGAUGACGUGAGAAAGAGAAAGCUGCGAGAGAGUGAAAGAGAUCUGCGAAAGAGAUAUCUGCGAAAGAGUGAUAGAGAUUUGCGAGAGAGAGAUUCAUUAUUGAAAUCGAAAGAGAACGAUGGCAAAGCAGUUUCCGACGAGUGAGAGCUUGAGGAACACAAGUUUGGUGGUUUGAUUAGUCUUCCGGUGACAGGCUCACCGAAAUCGCGUCUAGGUGUCAUAAAUUCGUUCAAAACCCAUCGAAUAUGUCUAAAAUGAUAUCUUUGUAUCAUUUUGGUCAUAGCCAAAGUUUAUCGGGGUUACAGUGACACAAAAUCAUCAAACAAACCUCGAUCUGCUUUUGAUUUCGUUCAAACCCAUUGGAAUCGGGAUGAAUUUCUCUUAUUUAUCAUGAUUUUUAGUUCGAGGUUGUGUGGGUACGUGAGAAUCUGGUCCAGGUCUCUUUUUUUCUGUGAUUCUCAGUUCCAAGUUGGAUGAGUUUGUUUAUUUUAGGUUCGGUUCAAGGUUUUCGAGUGCGGAUUCUCUUUAUUCGAAUAAUAUUGAGUUUGAAAGCUACGAAUCGAGGUCCAAUUCUAUUAUCUCUCUUUUUAUUUCAUUAUUUACUGUAUUUUGUUGUGUUGGAUUGAAUAUUUUGUGUUUUGUUUGAUCCUUGUUGGUGAUGAACACAUAUUUGUUUUGAUUCGCGG
RNAcentral lists this long non-coding RNA (882 nucleotides) under Capsicum annuum. RNAcentral describes it as "long non-coding RNA (CANN_LNC009421)". Lineage: Eukaryota; Viridiplantae; Streptophyta; Magnoliopsida; Solanales; Solanaceae. The record is from RNAcentral.